CCGGCGGCUGCGGCGCCAAGGGCCGGCUUCGUCAAGGCAUCGUCACUGCUGGCCCUUUUCAGCUACAAACACACGCGUCAGAUGAUCCUCAGGACUUCUCGGGGCAAUAUCCUGUGACUAACUCCUGCCUGAGUGGGCCGUCCAACAACGCCUCAGCAGUGACGUCUCACCUCGUCUCAGUGAAGGAAGAAAGAACCAGAGGGAGGAAUGGAUUGCCAUCAUGUGACACAAACGAGAGCGAUGAAUUUUAUUCUGAAAAGAUUCAACUAUCGAGAAGGAAGAUCAAUCACAAUAUUUUUUUAAAUGACAAGUUUUACUAACGAAUUCUGCAACUCCAAUCUAUUUAUAACAAUAUUGUAUUUUGUUUUGUUUCCACACCAGGUUGUGUGGGCAGAAACGGCAGCGACUGGCACUGACAAAGCCCAUCUGUGUCUCAGAAAGCCUCAGUAAUAUGAGGGUGGAUCAUUUGUGGCCUGGCUGACAGUCAGAAUUUAUGUUCUUCAGUAAUGGUCUCAUUUUGAUCCCACAACAUGCAGCUUGCCAAGGAUGUAGAGCAUGUGGGUCGAAAGUGAACUGCAUUCGGGUCUGGGAUUAAACGGGCUUCAGUUUGUGGCCAGUGGUUAACAGAGGAACUCAAUCUGACCGCACCCCUUCGCAAGCAACAGGCUGCCUUUUAAAGUGUUGCAGCUAGACUUGAGAAAGACUGCAGAUUGCUUUUAAGGCAUUGCACACUCCCACGUCCUGUUGCAGAGACUGAUUUUUUUCAGUGUGGUUUAAUCUCAGUAUAAAUGUAGAAGUUCUGCUUCAGAGGUUUAGGGGGUUUUCAUACUUCAUAGUCUGGUGGACUCGGUUUGAUCUGGGACCAAAAUUCAAACAUUUGUUACAUUUUUAGCUGGUAUGGUUCUCUUUCACACUGCACUGUGUCAAAUAAACCAAACUCUUUCAGAAACCUAUUCCCCUCCUCACCUAUGGUGGCGCUGCAACAAGAGUGACAUAAGGAAAUGACAGGAAAACAUCUAAAGACGACAGCUUCCUUCACAAAAACAAAAACGGACUUUUAGCAGUUGUAGGAUUUCCCUUUCUCCCUCCAAUGUUAGACUCAGAUUACAUUUGUUUUGUUUGUAUUAACCCGGAAUACCCUGCGCUAUAGUUCGCUUCCUGCUUUUGAGGCGGUCUCCUGUUCAACUGGCGUUCACAUUCAACUGAGCUAGGUUUUUAUUCAAACCAGAGUUCACUUUUUUCCCAGAGAUCAAUUGCACCUUCACACCUCCCCAAACGAGCCGGACUUUCUAGGCAAACAAACAAGAGUUCAAUCAAAGUGGACCAAACAGGGCUGGUGAGAAUGCAUCCGUAGAGAACAAACGGCAUCAUGAAGAGCAUGGUGAAAAGCUUAAAGCAGAGUUAGGUUGCAAAACACUUUCCCAAGCUGAAGUUUGGUCUCAGAGCACAAGCCAUCAUUCAAACAUGGAAAAAGUAUUGCACAACUUGAAUCCACCAACAUAUGGUCAUUCACUUAAACCAACAAGCCGGGCAGGAAGAUAAUUAAUCUAGAGAAAAAGCCAAGAGAUCCGUAGUAACUUUGGAGGAGCUGCAGAGUUUUACAGAUCAGGAGAAUUUGCAGACGGGAAAAUUAUUAGUCACCCAAAUAAAUGGCCUUGUGCAAGAAAGGACAGAAAGAAGAGACCCUCCAAAUGUUUACUAGAAAGACGUAUACCCUCCGGAUAAUUUCCCUUCCCUUUUACGCAUUUUUGUUUUGAUCUUGCAAAUAAAAUCCUAACACAACUA
Poecilia reticulata (guppy) is the source of this 1785-nucleotide long non-coding RNA. RefSeq lists it as uncharacterized. The record is from RefSeq and is a predicted model, not a curated record. Lineage: Eukaryota; Metazoa; Chordata; Actinopteri; Cyprinodontiformes; Poeciliidae.